Molecule: long non-coding RNA, 98 nt
Organism: Ipomoea nil (Japanese morning glory)
Lineage: Eukaryota; Viridiplantae; Streptophyta; Magnoliopsida; Solanales; Convolvulaceae
Exons: 3
Source: RefSeq, a predicted model, not a curated record
AUUUCCAUCAAGUGUAAGGUGUUUCAAGCCAUGCAUGUUUUCUGCAAUGGCAACAGCCUCCUCAUCAGAUGAUCCAAUGUUUUUACUUGGCUUGGAAU